RNAcentral lists this transfer RNA (91 nucleotides) under Sodiomyces alkalinus F11. RNAcentral's name for it is "tRNA-Pro". Lineage: Eukaryota; Fungi; Ascomycota; Sordariomycetes; Glomerellales; Plectosphaerellaceae. The record is from RNAcentral.
GCGCCGUUGGUCUAGUGGUAUGAUUCUCGCUUAGGGUCACACCCGAAGCAAUGCUUGCGAGAGGUCCCGGGUUCAAUCCCCGGAUGGCGCC